This 73-nucleotide transfer RNA is filed under the name Pseudomonas sp. NFR09. RNAcentral describes it as "tRNA_Asn_GTT". The record is from RNAcentral. RNAcentral also lists the same sequence under 10 other names. Lineage: Bacteria; Pseudomonadati; Pseudomonadota; Gammaproteobacteria; Pseudomonadales; Pseudomonadaceae.
CCAGUUGUGACUAGUCGGUAGCAAAUGACUGUUAAUCAUUGGCUCCCUGGUUCGAGUCCAGGUCGUGGAGCCA